This 421-nucleotide ribosomal RNA is filed under the name uncultured Bacteroidota bacterium. RNAcentral's name for it is "bacterial SSU rRNA". It matches the Rfam family "Bacterial small subunit ribosomal RNA", at positions 493 to 916 of the family's 1533-position model. Lineage: Bacteria; Pseudomonadati; Bacteroidota. The record is from RNAcentral.
CCGGCUAAUUCCGUGCCAGCAGCCGCGGUAAUACGGAAGGUCCGGGCGUUAUCCGGAUUUAUUGGGUUUAAAGGGAGCGUAGGCCGGAGAUUAAGCGUGUUGUGAAAUGUAGACGCUCAACGUCUGCACUGCAGCGCGAACUGGUUUCCUUGAGUACGCACAAAGUGGGCGGAAUUCGUGGUGUAGCGGUGAAAUGCUUAGAUAUCACGAAGAACUCCGAUUGCGAAGGCAGCUCACUGGAGCGCAACUGACGCUGAAGCUCGAAAGUGCGGGUAUCGAACAGGAUUAGAUACCCUGGUAGUCCGCACGGUAAACGAUGGAUGCCCGCUGUUGGUCUGAAUAGGUCAGCGGCCAAGCGAAAGCAUUAAGCAUCCCACCUGGGGAGUACGCCGGCAACGGUGCAACUCAAAUGAAUUGACGG